CUUCGGGGUGGAUUAGUGGCGAACGGGUGAGUAACACGUGGGCAAUCUGCCCUUCACUCUGGGACAAGCCCUGGAAACGGGGUCUAAUACCGGAUAACACCGGCUUCUGCAUGGAAGCUGGUUGAAAGCUCCGGCGGUGAAGGAUGAGCCCGCGGCCUAUCAGCUUGUUGGUGGGGUAAUGGCCUACCAAGGCGACGACGGGUAGCCGGCCUGAGAGGGCGACCGGCCACACUGGGACUGAGACACGGCCCAGACUCCUACGGGAGGCAGCAGUGGGGAAUAUUGCACAAUGGGCGAAAGCCUGAUGCAGCGACGCCGCGUGAGGGAUGACGGCCUUCGGGUUGUAAACCUCUUUCAGCAGGGAAGAAGCGAAAGUGACGGUACCUGCAGAAGAAGCGCCGGCUAACUACGUGCCAGCAGCCGCGGUAAUACGUAGGGCGCAAGCGUUGUCCGGAAUUAUUGGGCGUAAAGAGCUCGUAGGCGGCUUGUCACGUCGGGUGUGAAAGCCCGGGGCUUAACCCCGGGUCUGCAUCCGAUACGGGCAGGCUAGAGUGUGGUAGGGGAGAUCGGAAUUCCUGGUGUAGCGGUGAAAUGCGCAGAUAUCAGGAGGAACACCGGUGGCGAAGGCGGAUCUCUGGGCCAUUACUGACGCUGAGGAGCGAAAGCGUGGGGAGCGAACAGGAUUAGA
This 688-nucleotide ribosomal RNA is filed under the name Streptomyces zaomyceticus. RNAcentral describes it as "bacterial SSU rRNA". It matches the Rfam family "Bacterial small subunit ribosomal RNA", at positions 80 to 782 of the family's 1533-position model. Lineage: Bacteria; Bacillati; Actinomycetota; Actinomycetes; Kitasatosporales; Streptomycetaceae. The record is from RNAcentral.